UACGGGAGGCAGCAGUGGGGAAUAUUGCACAAUGGGCGCAAGCCUGAUGCGAGCCAUGCCGCGUGUAUGAAGAAGGCCUUCGGGUUGUAAAGUACUUUCAGUCGUGAGGAAGGUGUUAAGGUUAAUAACCUUAGCAAUUGACGUUAGCGACAGAAGAAGCACCGGCUAACUCCGUGCCAGCAGCCGCGGUAAUACGGAGGGUGCGAGCGUUAAUCGGAAUUACUGGGCGUAAAGGGCACGCAGGCGGUUAAUUAAGUUGGAUGUGAAAUCCCCGGGCUUAACCUGGGAAUGGCAUUCAAGACUGGUUAGCUAGAGUCUUGUAGAGGGGGUAGAAUUCCAUGUGUAGCGGUGAAAUGCGUAGAGAUGUGGAGGAAUACCGGUGGCGAAGGCGGCCCCUGGACAAAGACUGACGCUCAUGUGCGAAAGCGUGGGGAGCAAACAGGGAUUAGAUACC
Molecule: ribosomal RNA, 454 nt
Filed under: uncultured bacterium
Lineage: Bacteria
Description: bacterial SSU rRNA
Rfam family: Bacterial small subunit ribosomal RNA
Source: RNAcentral